This is a ribosomal RNA of Lepisosteus oculatus (spotted gar), 119 nucleotides long. The record is from Ensembl. Lineage: Eukaryota; Metazoa; Chordata; Actinopteri; Semionotiformes; Lepisosteidae.
GCCAGCAGCCAUAUCACCCUGCGACUCACAACUGGCAACCCACUGAAGCUCAGCAGGUGUGAGCCUGGUCAGUACCUGGAUGGGAGACCUCCUGGGAAAAACUAAGGUUGCUGCUGGAA